AGUGAACGCUGGCGGUAGGCCUAACACAUGCAAGUCGAACGGCAGCACAGUAAGAGCUUGCUCUUACGGGUGGCGAGUGGCGGACGGGUGAGGAAUACAUCGGAAUCUACUUUUUCGUGGGGGAUAACGUAGGGAAACUUACGCUAAUACCGCAUACGACCUACGGGUGAAAGCAGGGGAUCUUCGGACCUUGCGCGAUUGAAUGAGCCGAUGUCGGAUUAGCUAGUUGGCGGGGUAAAGGCCCACCAAGGCGACGAUCCGUAGCUGGUCUGAGAGGAUGAUAGGCCAAACUGAAACUGGGACACGGCCCAGCUUCCUAGGGGAGCCAGCGUUGGGAAUAUUGGACAAUGGGCGCAAGCCUGAUCCAGCCAUACCGCGUGGGUGAAGAAGGCCUUCGGGUUGUAAAGCCCUUUUGUUGGGAAAGAAAAGCAGCAGGUUAAUACCCCGCUGUUCUGACGGUACCCAAAGAAUAAGCACCGGCUAACUUCGUG
RNAcentral lists this ribosomal RNA (491 nucleotides) under uncultured bacterium. RNAcentral's name for it is "partial 16S ribosomal RNA". It matches the Rfam family "Bacterial small subunit ribosomal RNA", at positions 29 to 507 of the family's 1533-position model. The record is from RNAcentral.